ACACACACACACACACACACAUACACGCACAUACACACGCACACUCACACAUACACACGCACACUCCCAAGGUAAGGGAAAGGUUUUGUUUAUGCCUUGUUUUGAACAUAAAUGAAAUUUGAUCAUCAUUUAACUUAAUAUAGAUAAGGAAUGACAAUUUGAUAUGUGAUGUGUGUGACUUCUCAGGUGGCCAUUAUGGCAAAAAAAAAAAGUCCAUCUGUGCGUCUUAAUUUAAAACACAUUGUGAUUGGUGCAUGGGCCAAUCUAUUGAAGUCUUGUAAAUCAAGGCUUUAAGUGGCAGCUGACUCGAUCUCAGCUGCAUUCUGGAGGGUUUCUUUAUUUGGUCCCGAACUUCAAUGCUAAAGGUUUUUGUUGUAAUAUAUAUUAUGGUUUGUCCAUGUAAUAAGUUAAAUGAUCAUCAGGUGUCAUUUUGACCCAAAAUGGAAGGAAAUGCAGAUUGGCAGUGGUUUCAUACACUCACAUAUGCUGUCACUGUAAACAUAUUUUAAUUUAUUAUAUACAGUUGCUAAAAAAAAAGCCUUUAUACUUGUUGACCACUUUUCUUGUGCCACUUCAAAAUGUGCUUAAUUUCUAAGGUUUAACAGUUAAUGGGAUUGGCAACGAAUGUGUGUUAUAUAAAUGAAAUUUAGAUACAUUUGUGUUUUCAGUCAGUUUUUCACACAAGAAGAAAAUGAUUGUGUGAGAAUCCCACACAUCUUAUGCAAUCUUUCUGAAAUUCCAAGGAGUGUAAGCGUGUAUUAAAUAGGAUAGCAUAAGAUUGCAAUUCCAUUUUCCCACUGCAGUCUACGUCGCACUGUUGUACUUGUGCUUGGAGUUUAUCUUUAGAUUGGAGUUUUGGGAUGAGGUCAAUGGCUUUUUUUUUUUUUUCUUUUUUUUAUCCUUUCAAAAUGUUCCGACACAGAACUAAGUUUUAUCCCUCAAGCUUUAGAUGCACACUCACACAGGAUGCAUGUUGAUACAGCUUCAGCUUUGAUUACGCACAAACUAAACGGGUCCUGUGACGUCCUGUGGCUGAUUCUCAAAUGGUGCCAUUAUGAAACGCUAGUCCCUGCACCUCAGUGGCAUUUUAGGAUAUUUGGUCGAGUCAAAUCUACAGUUUAGUUUCCAAGGUUUGAAGGGAAAGUUAACCAAUCAUCUGUCUGCCCAGCGAGUAUUCUCUCCUUUUUUAGAAAUUAUUUUUCCACAUAGUUAUUUUAUCCCAAAAUACAAGAGAUCAUAUUUACAUGUACAUACACUAACAGUUCAAACCUUCAGAAACUGCAUUUAUCAAAAGAAAGAAAAUCCAUAUAAUUAGACUCUUGUGUGCUGUAUUUGUGUUGCAGCUCGAUUGCUUUAGAACAAAUCACAACGUGAUUGAUGUCACAUUUAUCCUGUAUAAAAGCAGAUGCAUAAACAACAAUGCAUUCAUUUAAUAACCACAGUAUGCAACAUUGCAUAAAAAUUGCCAAAUUAACAAAUAGUCUUCUGCUAUGCAUGUAAACAACUUGAUUAAAAUGGCUUCGAACAUGCAGUAAGACCAAUAAUUAGAUUGUAUAUAUGUAAAUGUCCUUACUGAGAUGUGCUGAAGGGACUCGGUAACAAACUUGUUAGCGAGGGAAGCUGAAUACGACAGUUUUGAAAAGAAAACUUUUUAACAGCUAAGGGACUGUGUGCAAAUGAUUAGGGUGGGGCGAGGGGGGCUGAAUCUUAUUUUUAAUUUUAUGAAAAGCAAAAUCCCAAUGUUCACAUGAUUCUUUGAUAAAUCAGAUGAGGCUGACAGAUGUCUCAAUCACAUGGCCGGGCAUGUUGGAGACAGAUGUUACAAAGAGUGCAGCAUUUAAUAUUAUAAUGAAAGCCAUCUGUGUGAUGUAACUAUUAUACUUAAAAAAAAAAAAUAGAAUAAAUCUAACAGGGGGAGAAUGAAUCCGGGAUGAGACAAAGUAAAAAGACGCUCCCUGCCCUCCCAAAAAACA
Etheostoma spectabile (orangethroat darter) is the source of this 1973-nucleotide long non-coding RNA. RefSeq lists it as uncharacterized. The transcript is spliced from 2 exons. The record is from RefSeq and is a predicted model, not a curated record. NCBI's taxonomy places the organism in Eukaryota, Metazoa, Chordata, Actinopteri, Perciformes, Percidae.